This 460-nucleotide ribosomal RNA is filed under the name uncultured bacterium. Its description in RNAcentral is "partial 16S ribosomal RNA". It matches the Rfam family "Bacterial small subunit ribosomal RNA", at positions 338 to 795 of the family's 1533-position model. The record is from RNAcentral.
CCUACGGGUGGCAGCAGUGAGGAAUAUUGGUCAAUGGACGAGAGUCUGAACCAGCCAAGUAGCGUGAAGGAUGACUGCCCUAUGGGUUGUAAACUUCUUUUAUAUGGGAAUAAAACGUUCCACGUGUGGGAUUUUGUAUGUACCAUAUGAAUAAGGAUCGGCUAACUCCGUGCCAGCAGCCGCGGUAAUACGGAGGCUCCGAGCGUUAUCCGGAUUUAUUGGGUUUAAAGGGAGCGUAGGUGGAUUGUUAAGUCAGUUGUGAAAGUUUGCGGCUCAACCGUAAAAUUGCAGUUGAAACUGGCAGUCUUGAGUACAGUAGAGGUGGGCGGAAUUCGUGGUGUAGCGGUGAAAUGCUUAGAUAUCACGAAGAACUCCGAUUGCGAAGGCAGUUCACUGGACUGCAACUGACACUGAGGCUCGAAGGUGUGGGUAUCAAACAGGAUUAGAUACCCCAGUAGUC